AGCCUCACAAAGUGGUUGUGAAAUGCUUGAAAUUGACUUGGAUUUUUUGAAAAGUUCGAUUUGUGCUUUUUUGAAAAUUGCAUAUCACAGCCAGCUUUGAUGAGCUGAG
RNAcentral lists this microRNA precursor (109 nucleotides) under Musca domestica (house fly). RNAcentral's name for it is "mir-2 microRNA precursor family". It matches the Rfam family "mir-2 microRNA precursor family". Rfam says of the family: The miRNAs are transcribed as ~70nt precursors (modelled here) and subsequently processed by the Dicer enzyme to give a ~22nt product. In this case the mature sequence comes from the 3' arm of the precursor. Lineage: Eukaryota; Metazoa; Arthropoda; Insecta; Diptera; Muscidae. The record is from Rfam by way of RNAcentral.